Molecule: ribosomal RNA, 292 nt
Filed under: uncultured bacterium
Lineage: Bacteria
Description: partial 16S ribosomal RNA
Rfam family: Bacterial small subunit ribosomal RNA
Source: RNAcentral
GUGUCAGCCGCCGCGGUAAAACGUAGGAGCCAAGCGUUAUCCGAAUUCACUGGGCGUAAAGCGCAAGUAGGCGGCCGAGCAAGUUGAUUGUGAAAGCUCCCGGCUCAACUGGGAGAGGCCGGUCAAAACUACUCGGCUCGAGGACGGUAGAGGAAGGCGGAAUUCCCGGUGUAGUGGUGAAAUGCGUAGAUAUCGGGAGGAACACCUGUGGCGAAGGCGGCUUUCUGGGCCGCACCUGACGCUGAGAUGCGAAAGCUAGGGGAGCGAACGGGAUUAGAAACCCUUGUAGUCC